Molecule: long non-coding RNA, 881 nt
Organism: Drosophila sechellia
Lineage: Eukaryota; Metazoa; Arthropoda; Insecta; Diptera; Drosophilidae
Exons: 2
Source: RefSeq, a predicted model, not a curated record
UUUUUUGGCAAAUCAAUAGAAAUUUACAAGACUAAUAAAACUAUGACCAAAUUUCGCAAGCGUGGCAGUUUUGGGCGUUAGAGUUGGCGUGGCAAUGUGGGUCAACAAACUUGCGCUUCGUCUAUGUCUCUGGAAUCUGUUUGAUCGGGACAGAUCGACUCGGCUAUUGAUCCUGAUGAAGAAUAUAUAUACAUACUUUGUAUGCUCGGAAAUGCUUGCUUCUAUUUAUGGCACUUACUAUUUAACGUAUACACCCUUUCACUCUACGAGUAACGAAAUACUUGCCUACGGACGGACGGGCCCGGCUCUAAUUGCUAGCGCAUAUGUACAUUUAUUCCUGAUGUGGUCGUAAUUGUCUCCUUUUCUGCGUUAAUUGACUUAAAUCAAUAUACCACUUGAAAGGGUAUAACAUAUUUAAAUUAGUCUAAGCCAGCUUUUGAGCUUCGGAUGGCACAGUUAGUACUACGUCUGAAGGACCUCAUACCAAGGACCCACAGAAGCGGACAGGCAGCCCCUCAUCCAUCCCAUCUUAAGAACUCAAGGCGACACACAGACUGUGUCCAGACGAAACGACCGACGCCUGAAUGAUAACUUACAAGCGUGGCAGCGGAUAGGGGUGAAGAGGAAUUAAAAGCAUGCGUUUCACAAAAAACUUAGAACAUAUGUAGAAGGGUGUUAUUUAUAUAGGCUUAUAAUCAGUGUAUGUUACACUAUGUAUCACCUUUUUGUUUUUAGAAACAAUAAAUUUUAAACUUAGUAAAUAUUUGUAUUUCUUCAUGAGAAAUAUUAGAAAACACUAUCACAUCUUCACGAUUUAUAAAUGUAUUAUACUUUUUCUUUCAACAAGGAAACAAUAUUUUGUAUCUCCGUCGGUUGCUAAA